CCUACGGGAGGCCGCAGUCGAGAAUCAUUCACAAUGGGGGAAACCCUGAUGGUGCGACGCCGCGUGGGGGAAUGAAGGUCUUCGGAUUGUAAACCCCUGUCAUGUGGGAGCAAAUUAAAAAGAUAGUACCACAAGAGGAAGCGACGGCUACCUCUGUGCCAGCAGCCGCGGUAAUACAGAGGUCUCAAGCUUUGUUCGGAAUCACUGGGCGUAAAGCGUGCGUGGGCUGUUUCGCAAGUCGUGUGUGAAAGGCGCGGGCUCAACCCGCGGCCGGCACAUGAUCAGGCGAGACUAGAGUAAGGGAGGGGGAACCGGAAUUCUCGGUGUAGCAGUGAAAUGCGUAGAUAUCGAGAGGAACACUCGUGGCGAAGGCGGGUUCCUGGACAUUAACUGACGCGGAGGCACGAAGGCCAGGGGAGCGAAAGGGAUUAGAUACCCGGGUAGUC
This 446-nucleotide ribosomal RNA is filed under the name uncultured bacterium. Its description in RNAcentral is "partial 16S ribosomal RNA". It matches the Rfam family "Bacterial small subunit ribosomal RNA", at positions 338 to 795 of the family's 1533-position model. The record is from RNAcentral.